CCCUUAGAUGUUCUGGGCUGCACGCGCGCUACACUGAUGCACUCGACGAGUUUACGACCUUGCCCGAUAGGGUUGGGUAAUCUUUUUAAAAUGCAUCGUGAUGGGGAUAGAUUAUUGCAAUUAUUAAUCUUCAACGAGGAAUUCCUAGUAAGCGCGAGUCAUCAGCUCGUGCUGAUUACGUCCCUGCCCUUUGUACACACCGCCCGUCGCUCCUACCGAUUGAGUGCUCAGGUGAAUAAUUCGGACUGCAGCAAUGUUUGGAUCCCGAACGUUGCAGCGGAAAGUUUAGUGAACCUUAUCACUUAGAGGAAGGAGAAGUCGUAACA
Molecule: ribosomal RNA, 326 nt
Filed under: uncultured eukaryote
Lineage: Eukaryota
Description: partial 18S ribosomal RNA
Rfam family: Eukaryotic small subunit ribosomal RNA
Source: RNAcentral